RNAcentral lists this ribosomal RNA (253 nucleotides) under uncultured bacterium. Its description in RNAcentral is "partial 16S ribosomal RNA". It matches the Rfam family "Bacterial small subunit ribosomal RNA", at positions 524 to 776 of the family's 1533-position model. The record is from RNAcentral.
GACAGAGGGUGCAAACGUUGUUCGGAAUUACUGGGCGUAAAGCGCGUGUAGGCGGCUAUGCAAGUCGGAUGUGAAAGCCCUCGGCUCAACCGGGGAAGUGCACCCGAAACUGCAAAGCUAGAGUCUCGGAGAGGAUCGUGGAAUUCUCGGUGUAGAGGUGAAAUUCGCAGAUAUCAGGAGGAACACCGGUGGCGAAGGCGGAUCUCUGGGCCGUAACUGACGCUGAGGAGCGAAAGCAUGGGGAGCGAACAGG